GGGCGUGUGGCUCAGUGGGAGAGCAUUCGGUUCGCAUCCGAAAGGCCGCGGGUUCGAGUCCCGCCACGUCCACCA
RNAcentral lists this transfer RNA (75 nucleotides) under Candidatus Fermentithermobacillaceae bacterium. Its description in RNAcentral is "tRNA-Ala". It matches the Rfam family "tRNA". Rfam says of the family: Transfer RNA (tRNA) molecules are approximately 80 nucleotides in length. Lineage: Bacteria; Bacillati; Bacillota; Candidatus Fermentithermobacillia; Candidatus Fermentithermobacillales; Candidatus Fermentithermobacillaceae. The record is from RNAcentral.